GUAUUACUCCAAAUUUUGUACCAUUUAAAGACUAUGCCUAUUCUUGGGAGGACAAAUUUUGAAUUUUGGUGUCUUUUGGAGGUUCAACAAAAGCGUAGUAUUUUUGUCGGGGGAGAGGGAGGGGGGGGGGGGGAGGAGGGUAGGUAAAAUUGAUGUUUUGGGGUUGGUUUUCUUGGUAUUUUGAAGGGGUUAAAAUUUAAAGGAGAAAUUUACAUCAUUAUCAUUAACUUGUAUGAAUGUUUCACAAGCUUAGAAGAUCUUGAUUUUAAGAUGUUUUAUAUUUUUCAGGUUAUGUAAAUUUUCAGUAAUUCUUUAUUAUUAUUUUUGGGCGGGGGAGGGGGGGGUAAAAUGUGCAUAGAUAUUGGGGAAUGUUUUUACCAGGUAUUUCUUUAGGAUACAUUGACAAACAUGAUUUGUUUGAUAUUCCUUUGCUGCAAUACUACGUAGACUCAAUUACUCUGCUAAAAUUAACUCUCCUGGAAAUUUUUCAUGUGAUCUUCAGAGCUCCAGAGUCUGUUUUAUCCGAGUACAAUUAAUACCAAUUAAUUACCUUCAAUAUAUUAUUUUAAUAUCAUUUCACGCGUUCUCGUUUGUAUAUGCAGACAUACAUAGGUGUUGUAAAACGUCGAAAUUUUCAUAUUUUUUCAUAUAAAAUUACAUUUUUUCAACAACAAAAAAAUCUGUUGAAAGCCAUUUUCAUUCGAUUUUGUGAAAAUUGGUAUUGUGAAAUUCAGAAAUAUAUCUAAUUUCACUGUUUAAUGUUGAAAUAUUUUUAUUACUAAGGCUAUGUCAAUUUAAUUUUUGAUUCUUUGGAUUUUUUAUGGCAAAAACGGGUGAGCAAGCGAAUUUUUUCAUUUUUAAUUUUUUAUUCAAACUGAAAUUCCUAAAUCUUCCUAAAAGAGUUUAAAUUGAAAGUUUGAUUUGAUGACAUGUUGGUAGCAUUAUUUAACAUUUGAUUUUUAUUGAUGAAGGCAUUCUAUCGGGCUUUUUGAAUGAACAAAUGAAUAAAAGUUUAAUGGAGAUCUUUUGAGUUACGUACAUCUUUUAUGUUCAAAUCGGAAAGUUACGUACAUCAUAUUGUGAAAGUUACGUACAUCAAUCUACGUUUUUCAAAUACCGAUUGCAGCAAAUUUGGGACAGUAUCAUGAAGACUUUGGGUAUAAUUGUGAACUAUUGAUAUAAAUAGACAUCCUCUUUCGUGAAGUGUAUUUCAUUUCGCUUUUUAAAAGACAAAAACAACGCUAUUCUAAUUUAACUGUUUCUUCUUCCACCAUCUUGGGAUGUACGUAACUGCAGUUACGUACAUCAGUUUAAUACCAGUGAACAGAUGUUUCUCGUUUUUGAAAUAAGAUGUAAAUGUUUUUUAAUUGUAAUAGCCAAUAAAAAAAAUUGAUGCAUGAUUUUGGGGAGGGAGGGGCUGCAAAAAAUUAAACCAAAGGAUAUAUAAACAAUUCUCAAGAAACGCGUACUAGGAUUUCUCUUGAAAAAAAUAUAAUCAACUCGGGAUAUCUUAAACAGUUAUUCAUUUAUGUGUGUACAAUAUUGGAGCAAGAUAUAGGCUAAUGCUUAUUUAUACAUAAAUCCCCGAGUACCCAAACUCCGUCACAGAAUAUCGGUAAGCGGAAAACACGCUGCAAUACUCUCUGAAUUAUGUUUUGAAUUUUUUUUUUUUUUUGCUACACUUAGUAAUGAACUUGAACAUUGUUUUAAGUACAGUAGUAUUAACAAAAUGUUCACUUAUUGAGCUUAUAUAACACCAAUAGAUAGAACGUGUAUCACGUUCGUGUGUAUUACGUCCAACUAACCCAACUCCGUCACCAGGACCCUCUACAAUAUGGCAACAUUUCUUUUGUCCCUGUUUCUCAAAAUUGUAAACAGAAAGGAAAAGAAAAAGAUUUGAAAAAGCUUUUUGUACACAUGUCUUGUUAAAAUAGGCUGUACUAAAUUUUUAAUUAUUUCAUCAAAGCAUCAUUUAUGUCGAUUUAAGCUAAUAACCGAUAUUCUUGAAAAUGGGGAGGAAUGUAGUAUAACUAAAUAUAUCGGGGUUGUCAGAAACAGGCUAUAACUUAAAAUUACCUGUGUAUUUUAAUACUAAGCAGGGGUCAGUAAUCUGACCCUGUGUUCAAUAGAUGAGUACUGGUCAUCCCAGUAUCCCAGGCACCCUGCAAUCAGUUGUAACACGGACCCCGACCAGAGACGACGUUAUCCGUCUCCGAGUGGUACAACUGUAGACUACGUACAGUGAGUGCCUUAGGAUAAUCCUAAGCACUCAACUGCACUGUGCAUGCAUUUAAGAUAUUCUACACUCCACUACAUUAUCUCCGACGUGUAGUGCAUCAGGGCAAAUCUAGACGAAAAUUUUUGAUAUUUUAGUCACAUGAUCAAUUAUGGCAUAUCAUCUUUAACCCUUGACAUAGACAAAAUAAGGAUGUUGGCGCUGCGACGCAGAAAUCGAUGUGAAAGGAAAAGUGCUUACUGAUUUCACAUCAAAUGUGAUAGAUAUAAUAGAUCACGUAUCAAUUUAUUGUUAUUUUUGUUGACAUAUUCUUGAAUUGACUGUUAGGCCUAUAAUUCACACUCUCACUGUCGUCUGGGGAGGUGCGGUUAUCAUCUCCGCACAGCCAAUCAGAAUCGCGGAAGAAUUGUCCGCCAUUACCUCCGUCAAAACUUGUGAUGUCGGAGGUUUUGAGGUACAGAUGUUUUAGCCUGAUUACUUCGGGUUCUCAUAAAAUUGGUGGAAUUUUGUGCCUCGGGGAAAUGCAACAGUGAUUCACGUUACCCAGAAAGGAUACUAGAAGUGAUGUUUAUCCCAUUUCCAAAGCCAAAAUCACAAAAAGAUUAAUGUUUACGUGGGAUAAAGGCGUGCGAUAGGCCCCACAGUAAGAGCAGAAUGGACCGGCAAACGUUUGUAUGUUUAAAAAUUCAUUGGAUAUACCUGUAACAGCAGCACAAGUCAGAUAAUGUACAAGACCAGAUAACAACAGCAGAAAAUGCCUUUCAUCAACAGAGCAUACUGAAUCAUCAUCUGUAACUCCAGUUAUCAAUGGAAGCCCAAAAUUAACCCCACCAACAGGCCACCCUUUUGACAUUAACAGUAUUCUACAGCAAGAGAAAAAAACCCAGGGUUGUUUUUAUACUAUAUCAAUUUGAGACAUGCCACAUUUUGUACUAUUUUAGAGUUUUUUUAUAUACAUCUGAACAAGUUCCCCAGUGUGUAAAACAGGAGGGAUAUAGCAAAUAUGACAAAAGAAUCGCAGUUGUUAUUAACACCGAUGAGGCUGAGACAUAAUUUUGAAAUUAAGGAUUUGGCAUCAAGAUUUUGUAUUUCAACACAGUGUAUCGGCGAUAUAUUCUGUGCCUGAAUUGACCUUAUGUUGUGUUAGGUUGUGUUUCAAUAUAGUCCUAUAGGAAUGAUAUUAACAACAUGACAACUGAAUAAAAGCUCAAUUCUCAACAACCAUCGCUAUCAUUGAUUGUGCAGAAAGGAAAUCACAGAAACAAUCUUCUUUAAAACUACAGUUACAAAUUAUACAUUCUGACUACAGAUCAGCUACAACCUAUAGGGGACUUGUGGCUUGUGAUCCUUUAGGGGACUACAUGUAGCUUUAUGCUAAUUUGUGUUAUCUUGGAUAAAUAAAGGCUAUUAUUAUUAUCAUAUUUGUUAGUGAAUUAUUUACUGGAUCUAUGUCAGAUGUUGCUGUUACAGAGAAUAGUGGAUUUUACAAACACCUUGUUAUUUGAUGGUGGGUUGAAUUAUCCUGGAAGGGGAAUUCAUUUUGCAGACAAAGGUUUCACGAUAUCCAAAGAUCCAGGGGAAAUAUGUCUGCACCUCUGUAUCUCUGUCAGUGUAUUCCCACCAGUUAGUACAUGUAUAAAUAUUGAGACAUCAAUAAAGUUUGGAUAGUUUGUACCCUACUAAAUCUUGGACAAAACCCAGGGUUGAAGAGAAAAUUGAGAGCAUGUGAAUUCAUUGUGUACUACUUGUAUACAAUGUGAGUAGGUUAUUCAAAAUGAUAAUCAAACAUUUUAUGAGAGAGUAAAUUUAUGUCCAACUUUGGGAAAACUUACAUUAUGAUGAAUAUAAACUAGUAGAUUAUUUAAAUUUUCCUUUGAAAUGUGUGAAUGCUCACAACCAAGAAAAUUAAACCAUUUAUUCUUAAAGAACAAUGAUUAUUCAACAGAUGUGAAUUAUUUGCUGAAAAUAAAAAAAAAUUGGUACUUAAUUUAUUGUCCUAUUUAUGAUAAACUUCGAUUUUAAUAUUAUGACUCCUUUAAGGAAUUAUCAUAUUGUGUUGCUAUGUAAUGACAACAAGUACUAUAGUACAAGGGGUUGGGUAACUAAUUAAAACAGAUGUUUUACGAACAGGAAAUUGUUUUUUGGUCCGAGUCUUUAUACUAUUCUUGUUUAUAAUCCAAGUUUUCUAUUGUGUGUCAUUUAACAUAUUCUUGACUGUACUGUCAAAAUGGUGAUGUCUAUCAAACAUUGUACACAUUCUUUCUGUUGA
Long non-coding RNA from Ostrea edulis (European flat oyster), 4505 nucleotides. RefSeq lists it as uncharacterized. The transcript is spliced from 2 exons. The record is from RefSeq and is a predicted model, not a curated record. NCBI's taxonomy places the organism in Eukaryota, Metazoa, Mollusca, Bivalvia, Ostreida, Ostreidae.